GUGCUCGCUUCAGCAGCACGUAUAGUAAAUUGGAAUGAUACAGAGAAGAUUAGCAUGGCCCCUGUGCAAGAAUGAGACACAAAUUUGUGAAGCAUUCUAUAUAUUC
RNAcentral lists this small nuclear RNA (106 nucleotides) under Salvator merianae (Argentine black and white tegu). The record is from RNAcentral. Lineage: Eukaryota; Metazoa; Chordata; Lepidosauria; Squamata; Teiidae.